CUGAGCAAGAUGGAGAAGCAGGGCACGUGCAAUUCUAACUCAUGAAACCAUAGAAUCAUAGAAAAUCACUUGUUUUUUUCUUCUUCUUUU
RNAcentral lists this microRNA precursor (90 nucleotides) under Glycine max (soybean). Its description in RNAcentral is "miR164c stem-loop (gma-MIR164c)". Its record names the gene gma-MIR164c. Lineage: Eukaryota; Viridiplantae; Streptophyta; Magnoliopsida; Fabales; Fabaceae. The record is from miRBase by way of RNAcentral.